Long non-coding RNA from Equus caballus (horse), 2490 nucleotides. RefSeq lists it as uncharacterized. NCBI's taxonomy places the organism in Eukaryota, Metazoa, Chordata, Mammalia, Perissodactyla, Equidae. The record is from RefSeq and is a predicted model, not a curated record.
AUAUGUUUGUUUUCAUUGGUACACAACUAUGCACGUGUGUUUCAUAUGUUCUUAGAUAUCUGUUCUUCCAUCUCUUUGUGUCUCUCUCUACCCAGCAGUGGCAUUUGUCAGCUUCUGUUGACAAGUGGGAUUGGGGCUGGGGUGUGAGGCUGGGUUUCUGGUGAGAAUUUCUGAGGUUGGUUACAGGUGCUGAAACCAGGGGCCGGAGCCUGGCAGUAGGUGGGGUGUGGCCCUCACUGCGUUUCCUGUGGGAGCUGGGCCUCAGUCAGUCAUGUGGGCCAGUUCACCAGAGCAGGAAAGGGACAGAUCAGGAGGGCCAGCUCUGGAAACAGCGCCCGGCUGCCUCGUCUUCCAGAGGGCAGUGUUGAAACCACCUUCUCAGGAAAAUCCCUUCGUUCCUUGCUCUAGACUGAUGCGUGUUUCUAACUCUGCUCACCAGCUGGACAUGUGUCUUUGACGACACAGCAUGAAGUGGAAAUGGGAAGAUGGUCUGAAUCAGUCCUUGAAUCAGAUGACUGCGAUGAAACUGGAAGAGAGUCACAGAGGCUGAUGUCACUUACGCUGGGCAGGAGGGUGGGCCCAGAGACGAGGGAAGGCCAGCGGCGCAGGCCAAGGCCACCGGAGGGAGUCUUUCCCCAUCUGAUGAGUUGUCUGUAAUGGCCCUGUGGGGGGUCGUGUCAUAGCUGGACUAAGGACAGGACUUGCUCUGUGGACCAGGGAAUCGGAGACCCUGGUCUCGCCCUGGUUUUAAAAUUGAGCCCCUGUUCUCCAUUCAUCUAUCUACAGGUGGUUCUUCCCUCCAGAAGUCUAAGACGGGAGAGAAUUUAGUAUGAGCCCCUGGACUUUUCCUUAGCAGAGGCUCAGUCUGUACCAGGUGUAUGUGAUUUGCUUGUGUGUGCAAGAGAAAGCACAGCGUCGCGUGAAUCCUGAUGCUCACGAAUAGAACCGCCAGCUGAGGCUGACACUCCAGUGCCUCCCUGACAGUGUAUCGGGACCAGUCAUAGAGUCAGGAAGGACUUUAUAGAGAUUCAUAGAUUUUUCAGGUAGCCAAUCCUUAAACUCACAGAGCACACAGAUUGUCUAGAUCUGAAAACCUAAAGGCAGAUGUAUCAGUCAGAGCUCAUUGCAGGAAACGGAAACCAUUCUAGAAAUAUUAAGUGGAAAGAGUCUUAAUACAGAGAAUUUUGUCUUUACAAAAUGGUUGCAAAGGCUGAAGGAGCAGGUUCUCUGCUGGGCCGCUGGAAGGACUCCGAGAAGAAUACAGACCCGGCCCCUGGGAGAGCUGCUGCCUCUGAGACUUCCCGAGAGAGGGGCUGCUGCGGCUCCUGCUGCUCCUAGAGAACGCUGCCCAAGGCCCCAGUCCGAUCCCGGGAUCAGGAAGGCGCGAGCUGGGGAAUGGAGACUGUGAGGUUGCUGCUGGAAACCCCGCCUCUCUGCGACCUAAUUUGCAGCAGCGACCGUCAAGCUUUGCAGGAAGAGGGCAUCUGGCUCACGUCCGCCUUCUACAGGUGUCCUUUGGUGCAAGCUAAUUUGCAUCCAGAACCCUAGCUGCAAGGAGGCCUGGGAAAUGCCUCCCAAUUCUUGCAUCGGACAGAAGGAGAGGUCAAGUGGGCCAUUCGAGAGAGUCCGGCUCACAGGUCAAUGCCAGUGGGUGCUGGAUGGCUUAAGUGGAUUGAUGCAAUAUUGACUCUUCAGGAAAAGUUUGACUCAGAAACGUGUUACACGUUGGGUGGUAAGUUCUGGAAAGCAUCCAUUUCUCCCAAUUUCCACAUGUGAUACUAGAUGCUUCUGGUCUCAGCUCUGUGGUAUUUUGAUAUGUGGCCUUGAACAAGCCUCAGUUGCCCCAUUUGUAAAACAGUGAUGUGUGACAGGCCUGAAGGUGGCUUCCAGCUUCGGGCUAUUUCUCACGGUAUCAUUUGGCGCACACUUUGGGUCCUGAGCUGGGCAAAUCUUAUAAGCACUUCUAUGAACAGCCACUCUUUGUUCCUGGGGUUUCCAGACAUCGAGUGCACUUCCCUGGGGGCUUUUCUGAGAGCUCGUGAGGAUCAAAGAGAAUUAGGAGGAAGAAAAACUUGUGGAAAGCUUGGUAAAGCCCAAGCAAAAGUGGCUUGUUGCCCCAGCACCAAUGUCUGCUGUCGGAUGUGGGGCUUCGUAAUUUGCAAGGCCCUGUGCCAUUUGCUGUUCCCAGCAGUGGCCUCUUUGCGGAUGAGGAAACUAUGGCUUGGCCAGCUCUGUGACAUUAGGGACGAUGCUUCAGAGAGCACAUGACUGGUGGGGCAAGGGGGAGAACACAUGUCCCAGGGCUCUGCCAGCGAUCAGAAAGGGCACUGUUCCCUGGGGACUCCACCAGUCCCUAGCUGGGCUCUCCACAGAGAGGGGAAUCGAGGGUUGGGGAUGAGAUGAGACCCUCUUCUGCCUCUCUAUCCAUGGGCUCAGUGCUAUGCCAGUAAAUGUUUAACAACCGACCAAAAAAAAAAAAAAAAAAAAAAA